RNAcentral lists this ribosomal RNA (491 nucleotides) under uncultured bacterium. RNAcentral describes it as "partial 16S ribosomal RNA". It matches the Rfam family "Bacterial small subunit ribosomal RNA", at positions 29 to 506 of the family's 1533-position model. The record is from RNAcentral.
AGUGAACGCUGGCGGUAGGCCUAACACAUGCAAGUCGAACGGCAGCACAGUAAGAGCUUGCUCUUACGGGUGGCGAGUGGCGGACGGGUGAGGAAUACAUCGGAAUCUACUUUUUCGUGGGGGAUAACGUAGGGAAACUUACGCUAAUACCGCAUACGACCUACGGGUGAAAGCAGGGGAUCUUCGGACCUUGCGCGAUUGAAUGAGCCGAUGUCGGAUUAGCUAGUCGGCGGGGUAAAGGCCCACCAAGGCGACGAUCCGUAGCUGGUCUGAGAGGAUGAUCAGCCCCCCUGGAACUGAGAACCGGUCCAGACUCCUACGGGAGGCAGCAGUGGGGAAUUUUGGCCAAUGGGCGCAAGCCUGAUCCAGCCAUACCGCGUGGGUGAAGAAGGCCUUCGGGUUGUAAAGCCCUUUUGUUGGGAAAGAAAAGCAGCAGGUUAAUACCCCGCUGUUCUGACGGUACCAAAAGAAUAAGCACCGGCUAACUUCGU